Long non-coding RNA from Harmonia axyridis, 911 nucleotides. RefSeq lists it as uncharacterized. The record is from RefSeq and is a predicted model, not a curated record. Lineage: Eukaryota; Metazoa; Arthropoda; Insecta; Coleoptera; Coccinellidae. The transcript is spliced from 2 exons.
UUAAAAUGACAACUGCCAACCGGAGUGGGCGUGGUUACCGAACCUAACCAGAAUAAAAGUAAGGUUGCUCUGGUGACAAAUAAAUCUCCGAAGUUUGAGGAAAUAGUCACCGGUUUUUGAGGAAGUUGACAUAUAAGGACCGCCAACUUGCUAACCAAGGUAUCCCCAAAUGCAGCUUCUGGUCUGAUAACCCUCAGUGCCACAAAAUAUCUUUCAGGGAUCAGCUGAUUUGAUUUGAAUUUUUCUGGAAAGCUCGAAAAUAUGCCAAGAAACGCAUCAAAUUAAAAGGGAAGACAGCUCAGUUCAAAACGAAAUAUAUCUUCUUACUAAUCACCGAUUCAUAUGGGGUUUUCACAUAUUUUCUUUAAUCAAUAAUCUACAUUGUAGUAUUUCAUUAUUUUUAAUUUGCGCAUGAAAAAGAGGAUUACUUUUGGUAACUUUCGUUUUUCGCAAAAGAAUUGAUGAUAUGAUAUUUUUACAAAGCAGAUAUCCCCACAAAGCACUGAUAUAUUUCAAAAAUAUUCAUAAAAAAUCAUUACAAAAGAGGCAAAACUUCUGUGAAAAUUUGUAAAAUGACUCGCAAAGUACAUCCUUUCCACGAAAGCUGGAACAGAUCUUUUUCACAAUUUAAAAAUAUGUGUUGAAAAUAAUGACUCAUUGCAAACAUUUUUUAACUCUUUGGUUGUGUCGUUGAAUAACAAUUUUCGUUUAAAAAAAUUACAGUAAUAUUUGAGUUGCCUACUCACCUUAUCAUCUAUGUUACCCUGCUUCAACAACAAUUCUUCAACUCUCUUCAUUUCGACUUUUAAUUCAGGAGAGUCACGUUCAAGAAUGGCUUUUUUUAAUGCUUCUAGAACAUCCCUAUUGAAAGUAUGCGAUCCAACUUCAAUUGAGAGUACAGAUUUAAGCAC